This is a long non-coding RNA of Solanum pennellii, 1802 nucleotides long. RefSeq lists it as uncharacterized. The record is from RefSeq and is a predicted model, not a curated record. NCBI's taxonomy places the organism in Eukaryota, Viridiplantae, Streptophyta, Magnoliopsida, Solanales, Solanaceae. The transcript has 2 exons.
GUGUGGCCAUUUUACCUUUUAGGCUACGCUUUUAAGCAUAGCUGAUAAGGCAACACUUGAAAAGUGUUGCCUAAAAUCUAAGGUAAGCUUCAGUUGGGCACCCCUGGAAAAGUGUUGCCUAAAGUCCAAAAAUGUAGCCUUUUAUCUAAGGCCACACUUUUGCUAGUUUAGACUACACUUUACUAGGGUGGUCGUAGGCCUAAAAUGGUGUAGUGUGUUCAAAGGUGAAUUGCAGAAAGCAUUAAAAGCAAAGAUAAACAACAAUGGCGAAUGGAAGUGUUUCUGACGAAACAAGCACGGAAAAUGGAAAUUCAAGUCGAGCUGUAUUUCCAGUAAUUGAUCACAAUCAUCCCUUGUUCCCUCAACACACUAAUACUCCAGGUAGUUCUCUGAUCUCUCUGCAGUUAACUGGUUCAAAAAACUAUGCUUUGUGGAGUAGUUCCUUUAGGAUUGGACUGGUGGGGAAAAGUAAACAAGGAUUUGUAGAUGGAUGAUUUCCUAAGUCUAUGUUUGAACCAAUUCUGCUUGAUCAACGGGAAAAGUGUAAUGUUAUAGUGUUAAGCUGGAUUAUGAUUGUUGUGCGACCAGGUUUUCUAAGCUCUGUAGUAUAUGCUUCAAAUGCAUGAAAAGUGUGGUUAGAUCUGAGAGAGAGGUUUGACACAGUAAAGGAUCUAGGAUUUUUCAGUUGCAUAGAGAAAUUAACACACUAGUGCAAGGAACUAUGUCAGUUGUUGAUUAUCACUCAAGACUAAGAAAUAUGUGGGAUGAAUAUGAUGCUCUUAUGCCUUGUUCUAGUUUUCCUUGUCCGGAAUAAAGAAAAUUCGGUGAACAUUGUGAUUAUCAAAGGCUAUAACAGUUUCUUAUGGAACUGAAUGAGUCUUACUCAACUCCUAGGAGUCAAAUUCUCAUGAUGAGUCAAAUACCAACACUUAACGAAACUUAUGCUCUCAUUAUUGAUCAAGAGAGUCAGAGAAAUCUAGCCAGUUCUACCUUCCAUAUCUCAGGAGCAAUAGAAGGAACAACUAUGUAUACUCAUAGAAGUAACACAUAAAGUGGUGGUGCAGGAACAUCUAGAACUUCAUACUCAAGAGGAUCUGGUGGUGGAUACAUCAAUGGUGCUAGUUCUUUAGGAGGAGAUUAUAAAGCCAGAAAAUCACUCCUCGGUGUGAGCAUUGUGGGUGCAGAGGACAUUCUAAGGAACAAUGUUAUAAGAGUGUUGGAUAUCCUGCAGAUUUCAAGUCUUAGAGGAAGCCAAAUGUGUAUGCUAAUCAGGAUACUGCUUUAGAAGAAGAUGGAAUGAUUCAUGUCAAUCAAGUGUGGUACAAGAUUUUACACUUUAGAUCAAUACCAAUAAAAGAUUACAAUUGCUCACCAAGUCUGGUUGUUACAAGGUAGAAGAGUCCUCUGCAACAAUAUCACUGUUGCAAAUGCAGGACCUCUCCACUUGUCAGGUGAAGGGGAUUGGUGAAGAAGAGCAUGGACUCAACAUUCUUCAUGAAGAAUCAAGUCACAGGUCUAUUUCACAAAAGCUAGUUAAUACUACUAAUAUAACUCAUGUAUUUGAUUAGUCUAAAUCUAGUGAUGUUUGGCAUAGGAGAUUAGGACAUGCUCCAUUGAUGUAAUAAGGAGGCAUGAGUCCCUUGAAGCUCUAAAGCUCACACACUACUCCCAUUGCACUGUGUGCCUGUAGCUAAACAAUCUAAACUUCCAUUUCCUUUAAGUGUUCAUAAAACUACUGUUGUAUUUGAAUUGCUUUAUUAUGAUUUGUGAAUACCUUAUAAAGUUUCCACUUAAAGAGGUGA